CGGGAUGGAGCAGUCUGGUAGCUCGUCGGGCUCAUAACCCGAAGGUCGUUGGUUCAAAUCCAGCUCCCGCUACCA
RNAcentral lists this transfer RNA (75 nucleotides) under Acinetobacter baumannii. RNAcentral describes it as "tRNA-Met". It matches the Rfam family "tRNA". From Rfam's summary of the family: Transfer RNA (tRNA) molecules are approximately 80 nucleotides in length. Their secondary structure includes four short double-helical elements and three loops (D, anti-codon, and T loops). RNAcentral also lists the same sequence under 1 other name. The record is from RNAcentral. Lineage: Bacteria; Pseudomonadati; Pseudomonadota; Gammaproteobacteria; Moraxellales; Moraxellaceae.